AACGAACGCUGGCGGCAUGCCUAACACAUGCAAGUCGAACGAGACCUUCGGGUCUAGUGGCGCACGGGUGCGUCACGCGUGGGAACCUGCCCUUAGGUUCGGAAUACCUCCCCGACAGGGGUGCUAAUACCGGAUAAUGUCUUCGGACCAAAGAUUUAUCGCCUUUGGUUGGGCCCGCGUUGGAUUAGCUAGUUGGUAGGGUAAAAGCCUACCAAGGCGCCGAUCCAUAGCUGGUCUGAGAGGCAGGUCAGCCACACUGAGACUAGGACACGGCCCAGACUCCUACGGGAGGCAGCAGAGGGGAAUAGUGGAAAAUGGGCGGAAGGCUGAACGAGCAAUGCCGGUAAAGUGAUGAAGGCCGGAGGGAAGUAAAGCUCUUUUACCCGGGAUGAUAAUGACAGUACCGGGAGAAUAAGCUCCGGCUAACUCCGUG
Molecule: ribosomal RNA, 433 nt
Filed under: uncultured bacterium
Lineage: Bacteria
Description: partial 16S ribosomal RNA
Rfam family: Bacterial small subunit ribosomal RNA
Source: RNAcentral